Molecule: small nucleolar RNA, 104 nt
Organism: Sorex araneus (European shrew)
Lineage: Eukaryota; Metazoa; Chordata; Mammalia; Eulipotyphla; Soricidae
Source: Ensembl
AUCCUCUUCUGGUUCAUAAGCAUGAUGAUCGUGUGUUCACACAUUUGUGCGACGUAUCCCUUAAAUCUUGUUAUUCAUUUGACACAUUACUAUAUGGUGUGAAA